This 836-nucleotide ribosomal RNA is filed under the name uncultured Bacteroidota bacterium. Its description in RNAcentral is "bacterial SSU rRNA". It matches the Rfam family "Bacterial small subunit ribosomal RNA", at positions 8 to 844 of the family's 1533-position model. Lineage: Bacteria; Pseudomonadati; Bacteroidota. The record is from RNAcentral.
AGAGUUUGAUUAUGGCUCAGGAUGAACGCUAGCGGUAGGCUUAACACAUGCAAGUCGUGGGGUAACAGGGGUUUCGGCCCGCUGACGACCGGCGCACGGGUGAGUAACACGUAUGCAACCUGCCUUUAACUGGAGCAUAGCUCCGAGAAAUCGGAAUUAAUACUCCAUAAUAUCUUAAUAUCGCAUGAUAUAUAGAUUAAAGCUUCGGCGGUUAAAGAUGGGCAUGCGGGACAUUAGCUUGUUGGUGAGGUAACGGCUCACCAAGGCAACGAUGUCUAUGGGGUCUUAAAGGAUGGUCCCACACACUGGUACUGAGACACGGACCAGACUCCUACGGGAGGCAGCAGUGAGGAAUAUUGGGCAAUGGACGAAAGUCUGACCCAGCCAUACCGCGUGCAGGAUGACGGCCCUAUGGGUUGUAAACUGCUUUUGUACGGGAAGAAAAAACUCUACGUGUAGAGAACUGACGGUACCGUACGAAUAAGGAUCGGCUAACUCCGCGCCAGCAGCCGCGGUAAUACGGAGGAUCCAGGCGUUAUCCGGAUUUAUUAGGUUUAAAGGGUACGUAGGCGGAAAAGUAAGUCAGUGGUGAAAUCCUGCAGCUCAACUGUAGAACUGCCAUUGAAACUACUUCUCUUGAGUAUAGUUGAGGUGGGCGGAAUGUGUCAUGUAGCGGUGAAAUGCUUAGAUAUGACACAGAACACCGAUUGCGUAGGCAGCUCACUAAACUAUCACUGACGCUGAGGUACGAAAGCGUGGGGAGCGAACAGGAUUAGAUACCCUGGUAGUCCACGCCGUAAACGAUGAUUACUCGUUGUGUGCGAUAUAUUGUACGC